GGUAUGGGAUGAGCUUGCGUCCGAUUAGCUAGUUGGCGGGGCAACGGCCCACCAAGGCGACGAUCGGUAGCCGGCCUGAGAGGGCGAUCGGCCACAUUGGGACUGAGAUACGGCCCAGACUCCUACGGGAGGCAGCAGUAGGGAAUAUUGCACAAUGGGGGAAACCCUGAUGCAGCAACGCCACGUGUGGGAAGAAGCAUUUCGGUGUGUAAACCACUGUCGUGAGGGAAUAAGGCAUCGUUUCGGCGAUGUUGAAUGUACCUCGAAAGGAAGCACCGGCAAACUUCGUGCCAGCAGCCGCGGUAAUACGAGGGGUGCAAGCGUUGUUCGGAAUCACUGGGCGUAAAGGGAGCGUAGGCGGAGAAGCAAGCGGACUGUACAAUACCGGGGCCCAACCCCGGACCUGCAGUUCGGACUGCUUUUCUUGGAUAGUUCAGGGGCAGGC
RNAcentral lists this ribosomal RNA (445 nucleotides) under uncultured bacterium. RNAcentral's name for it is "bacterial SSU rRNA". It matches the Rfam family "Bacterial small subunit ribosomal RNA", at positions 217 to 662 of the family's 1533-position model. The record is from RNAcentral.